Molecule: ribosomal RNA, 460 nt
Filed under: uncultured bacterium
Lineage: Bacteria
Description: partial 16S ribosomal RNA
Rfam family: Bacterial small subunit ribosomal RNA
Source: RNAcentral
CCUACGGGUGGCAGCAGUGAGGAAUAUUGGUCAAUGGGCGCGAGCCUGAACCAGCCAAGUAGCGUGAAGGAUGACUGCCCUACGGGUUGUAAACUUCUUUUAUAAAGGAAUAAAGUGAGUCACGUGUGCCUUUUUGUAUGUACUUUAUGAAUAAGGGUCGGCUAACACCGUGCCAUCAGCCGCGGUAAUACGGAGGAUGCGAGCGUUAUCCGGAUUUAUUGGGUUUAAAGGGAGCGUAGAUGGGUUGUUAAGUCAGUUGUGAAAGUCUGCGGCUCAACCGUAAAACUGCAUUUGAUACUGGCAGCCUUGAGUGUGUGUGAGGAAGGUGGAAUUCGUGGUGUAGCGGUGAAAUGCUUAGAUAUCACGAAGAACACCGAUUGCGAAGGCAGCCAACUAACCUGCAACUGACACUGAUGAUCGAAAGUGUGGGUAGCAAACAGGAUUAGAUACCCCUGUAGUC